GCCUUAGGUGGCGCAAUGGGUUAGUGCAGCUGGCUGUUAACCAGAAGGUUGGUGGUUCAAGCCUAUCCAGGGACG
Podarcis lilfordi (Lilford's wall lizard) is the source of this 75-nucleotide non-coding RNA. The record is from the annotation of a GenBank genome assembly. Lineage: Eukaryota; Metazoa; Chordata; Lepidosauria; Squamata; Lacertidae.